GGGGAUAUAGCUCAGUUGGUAGAGUGCUUGCCUCACAUGCAUACGGCCCUGGGUUCAAACCCCAGUAUCACUA
Molecule: transfer RNA, 73 nt
Filed under: Marmota monax (woodchuck)
Lineage: Eukaryota; Metazoa; Chordata; Mammalia; Rodentia; Sciuridae
Rfam family: tRNA
About the family: Transfer RNA (tRNA) molecules are approximately 80 nucleotides in length. Their secondary structure includes four short double-helical elements and three loops (D, anti-codon, and T loops).
Source: Rfam by way of RNAcentral